CUUGGUCAUUUAGAGGAAGUAAAAGUCGUAACAAGGUUUCCGUAGGUGAACCUGCGGAAGGAUCAUUAACAAAUCAUUUGUAGACUCUGGAGGUAAAAACUUCAGACGACACACAUAAACCCGAACCUGUGCAGCAAUGCCAGGCAAGGUGUACGGUUUCGGCCGUACGGGAAAAGGUCCUUGGCCGUGAAAAGCCAGGAUCGGACCCCAAAUAGACGCUUGUAUGUUUGACAGAUUUUAGUUGACACUUUAAAAAUGACAACUUUUAACAAUGGAUCUCUUGGCUCUUGCAACGAUGAAGAACGCAGUGAAAUGCGAAACGUAAUGCGAUUUGCACGAAUCUGUGAGUCAUCAAGUCUUUGAACGCACCUUGCACCAUAUGAGCAAUUGUAUGGUAUACCUGUUUGAGAAUCGUAAAACAACCAUCAUCCCUUCUGGGGUGGAAUUGUCGGAUUCACAUGUCAUGUGUUCGAUCAAAUGAAUUAGGUUUGGAUCAGGCUAGUGGCCUGAGACACUGUGUGCUAGAGACUUAAGAAGCCUUUGCGGGCUGAUUGUCUUCUCAUGGUGCGUCUCAGGUCAAUUUAAAGCUAGCCUGCAAAGGACCUUUAACUGCGCUAGAGUUCUUCUCUAGGCAACCCCCCAAAUCAUUGAUCUCAAAUCAGGUAAGGCUACCCGCUGAACUUAAGCAUAUCAAUAAGCGGAGGA
RNAcentral lists this ribosomal RNA (705 nucleotides) under uncultured Basidiomycota. RNAcentral describes it as "eukaryotic LSU rRNA". The stretch from base 261 to 414 matches the Rfam family "5.8S ribosomal RNA". Lineage: Eukaryota; Fungi; Basidiomycota. The record is from RNAcentral.